RNAcentral lists this ribosomal RNA (497 nucleotides) under uncultured bacterium. RNAcentral describes it as "partial 16S ribosomal RNA". It matches the Rfam family "Bacterial small subunit ribosomal RNA", at positions 28 to 507 of the family's 1533-position model. The record is from RNAcentral.
GAUGAACGCUGGCGGCGUGCCUAAUACAUGCAAGUCGAGCGAACAGACGAGGAGCUUGCUCCUCUGACGUUAGCGGCGGACGGGUGAGUAACACGUGGAUAACCUACCUAUAAGACUGGGAUAACUUCGGGAAACCGGAGCUAAUAUCGGAUAAUAUAUUGAACCGCAUGGUUCAAUAGUGAAAGACGGUUUUGCUGUCACUUAUAGUUGGAUCCGCGCCGCAUUAGCUAGUUGGUAAGGUAACGGCUUACCAAGGCAACGAUGCGUAGCCGACCUGAGAGGCUGAUCGGCCACACGGGAGCUUGGACACGCUCCAGACUCCUACGAGAGGCAGCAGUAGGGAAUCGUCCGCAAUGGGCGAAAGCCUUGCGGAGCAGCGCCACGUGAGUGAUGAAGGUCUUCGGAUCGUAAUACUCUGUUAUUAGGUAAGAACAAAUGUGUGCGUAACUAUACACGACGUGACGGUACCUAAUCAGAAAGCCACGGCUAACUACGUG